RNAcentral lists this long non-coding RNA (202 nucleotides) under Phoenix dactylifera (date palm). RNAcentral describes it as "long non-coding RNA (PDAC_LNC011138)". Lineage: Eukaryota; Viridiplantae; Streptophyta; Magnoliopsida; Arecales; Arecaceae. The record is from RNAcentral.
AAUUACAUCCAAUUAAUUAAAUUAAAUUGCAAUCCGAUUGCAAUUAUUCCUUCUUCUAACUACUAACUCUUAGCGGGUUAUCCAUUUAUCAAUCUAAUUGAUCAUAUGUGAUUCUUAAUCACAAUUCAACCAUCGGAUCAAUCAAUACUUCUAAUGUGUGUGACCUCAUAGGUUCUAUUCUGACUGGUAGUGAGAUAUAUUG